Molecule: ribosomal RNA, 514 nt
Filed under: uncultured Glomus
Lineage: Eukaryota; Fungi; Glomeromycota; Glomeromycetes; Glomerales; Glomeraceae
Description: SSU rRNA
Rfam family: Eukaryotic small subunit ribosomal RNA
Source: RNAcentral
AGCAGCCGCGGUAAUUCCAGCUCCAAUAGCGUAUAUUAAAGUUGUUGCAGUUAAAAGCUCGUAGUUGAAUUUCGGGGUUAGUAGGUUGGUCGUGCCACUGGUACGUACUGGUCUCACUGAUUCCUCCUUCCUGAUGAACUGUAAUGCCAUUAAUUGGUGUUGCAGGGAAACUGGACUGUUACUUUGAAAAAAUUAGAGUGUUUAAAGCAGGCAUUAGCUUGAAUACAUUAGCAUGGAAUAAUGAAAUAGGACGUUCGAUCCUAUUUUGUUGGUUUCUAGGAUCAACGUAAUGAUUAAUAGGGAUAGUUGGGGGCAUUAGUAUUCAAUUGUCAGUAGGUGAAAUUCUUGGAUUUAUUGAAGACUAACUACUGCGAAAGCAUUUGCCAAGGAUGUUUUCAUUAAUCAAGAACGAAAGUUAGGGGAUCGAAGACGAUCAGAUACCGUCGUAGUCUUAACCAUAAACUAUGCCGACUAGGGAUCGGAUGAUGUUAAUUUUUUAAUGACUCAUUCGGCG